AUGUCCUUGGAAGUGACUGCCUGCUGGAUCCCUUGGAUGAGAGAAAUAUUCGGCAGAUAUUCAGCCCUUGCCGGAGAUACUAUGGGAGGAGCUCUUCUCUUCCCUAUUCCAGCGGGCAAAGACACAUCCAGAUGGAGCCUGCAUCGCUUUGCUCUCACUGCUGUAGUGGAGACAAAGAUGCCCGAAUCCCCAAGCUACCUUUAUCCAGGCGUUGACUUGUACAUGACCCUGGACUCAAACGGCCAAUCCCCAUUUUGUCGUGCCACAGGAUCGCAAAAGUUUGACAUUCGUGGAGGCCCCGCAGGAUGGGCCCGACCAACAGGGCCGAUUCGAAAAUUGUAGCUGCGUUUUUCGGCUCCCCAGUGUUCAUGUAGGGGCGGCACUACUGGGAGAUGGAGGUGGGAGACAGGCCAGAGUUGGAGGUGGCAGUGUGUUUCGAGUCGAUGAACAUGAAGAACAAUGUGCCAGUUGCCCCAGGGACACCUUUUCACUGAUGGCCUUCCAGUCAAUAAGUGGGGGUAGUUUCUGAAUCACCUUCCCCUUCACCUAGCUCUCUAUGGCCCUUCCUAUCUGCCGGGCUGUAAUUUUCCUGGAUUAUGAGGCCGAAGUCAUCUCUUUCUACAACCUGUGGGAGAAAUACCUCAUCCACACCUUGCCUCCUGUCCACUUCUCCAGUUCGUCCCGAUUCAUCUUCUCCCUUUGUCUUACAUUUGGGGUUCUAAAUGCAGGGCCAUUGACCACGGGACGAGUGUGCAAGAGCCACCUCCUUAGCCGAAAUUGAGAUUGACCUCCCCCCACCACCCUUACUGCUGCUUGAGUAGGUUUGACACAUUCUCCUGCCCGGAAAAAGUUAAUCCUUCUAUUCCCACGCUCCCCUUCCAUGACCCUUGGAGAGGGGUUUGCCUCUCCAACAACAACCCUCCACACCAGAGGUGCUAUUUCAUGGUUAAUCCUUUCAGUUCCCCCAGAGGAAACUCCCCUUCUCCCCUCGACCCGAACCCCAGACAACCGAGUACCAGAGUUCACACAACGCAGAUCAAGACAAAUACCUGGAAUCUCUCAGGGGAGUUAAUUGCAGUAGAAUUGAAAAUGCAUUGGAGACUAGUCUUUUCUUCCUUUCACCCCAGUUAAACAGGAUCAUGGUCUAGAGGGAGCAUGGGCUCUGCCACCCAUUUUCCCUUCUCCUCUGCUUGUUGUACCUCAUUUCCCAUUCAUCUCCCUUUCCCUUACGUGACUCCAGAAGAUGUUUUCCAAGCUGGUCCUGGACAGGGAGCCCAGUUCAGGGAAGCUUCCGGUGGUGCUGCCACCCAAAAUCAGAAAAUGAUAUCUCUUGAGUGUUUGCAAUGUUCAGGUUAUGGAACUGAAAGUUGGGAGACUAAAUGCUGAGGGUUGAUGAGAGCGAGCCUGGCGUCCAACUAACAGUCAAAAUAAUAAUAGGGAGCUAUAGUAAGUGCUCUGGGGGUGGGAACAAGAUGGAAAGUGUAUCAAAAUACUUCGGGGAUAUGAAUGCCAGGGUACUGAUGACAUCAUAUCAGCUAUGAAACUCAAAGUCAUUCUUCGGGUGAAAGCUGUGAAUUCACAGUGUUCUGUAUUGCUUUGGAACUGCAAGUAUCUUUGGUGCUACCUCCUAUCUUACAUCGGCUCAAAAAACGACUGUGGAAUAGACAAGAGCCAAUUUCCUUCCAGGUGAGGGGCAACACCCCAGAUGCCAAACUGUGCAGGCCCCAUGUCAAUAGUACUAUCCUCUACCUUUAUAUCAGUCUACAAAUGUUCAGGAUGUAACUUUUAAUCCUCCUUCACACUUUGAGUAACUCGGAGUGUUAGAGACCUUUUCCCCUCAAGAUCACAAUAGGGGCAUGAGUCCUCCAGAUUCCGGACUAAGUGCAAAUAGAUUGGGCAGUACUUGGCAGUUCAAAAAUACCACCACUAUCAUCACUAAUAAUCAUUGUACUAUUAUUAGUAAACAUUAAUGGUUAUCAUAACUUUUUAACCUCAUCAUUUUUAUGACCCCAGCCAAUUAUUCCCUGGCAGCGAAGAUGGCUAUUGUUCUAUUGGAAAGUAUCAAUGAAGAAGUCAGAAAAGUUUCCACUUCCACCCCACCUAAGGAGCCAGAGCCAGAAAGAAGAGGCUCUAUAUCCAAAUCUGUAUCCACCACUCUUGUCAUGUCGUCAGAAGAAUGAAGUUAGCUUUCAUGCCUACACUUGCUUAUUAUUAACUCUAUAUUUAGCAAUAUUUGGUGAUGAUGGCAUCAGGUCCACGUCAGAAUAGCACACGGGACUUGAUUCCGGAGCGUUGAAGGUAAAAUUCUUGUGGGCAGAGAAUGUGCCUGGUCCUUCUGUUGUCCUUCUAUAAUAUAGCAGGGUCACCAU
This 2369-nucleotide long non-coding RNA is filed under the name Ornithorhynchus anatinus (platypus). RNAcentral describes it as "lncRNA (ENSOANG00000040409.1)". Lineage: Eukaryota; Metazoa; Chordata; Mammalia; Monotremata; Ornithorhynchidae. The record is from RNAcentral.